CACGGAGAAAAAACGGUACAGAUUGAAAUAACAAAAAUUUUGGUUGUUUUUCAACCUAAGGAAAUUGUUAUUUUUAAUUUGAAAAUAGUUCUUUCAAUUUAAUAAGAUCUUGCAGAAUCGGUUAUUGGCCAUAAGGAAAUUGCAAUAUUUGCUGAUUUAUUUCGAUGCCAUCUAUGGAAAACAUUCCCUGGGGAAACUUGAGCCACCUCGGCGCAACCACCAACUUCGGCAAAAAGUGGCACACAGGUUCAUCUUUUAAUUGACAUCCACUAGGGCCUGCGUCAUCGAACAGAAUCAGGCUUUUAAUACGGUUUUCAUUAGCCACACAAAAAUCGAAAUUGUUGCCGUCUGAAAUCUGAUUGCGCUAGUCCGGAUUAAUUGCAUGUUCCAGAGAGCCAAUCGGGCUUUGGAAUCAACAGGAUUCACCCGAACCAGCGAUCCAGUGUUCGAAUCGGAGCAGAACCAUUGCCCCCAUUUCCCAGAAUGUGUGCAUUGUUCAUAGAGGCUAGGAUUGAAUUAGAAAUGUUCUAUCCAAAAACAGCAGAAAUAAGGUUUUUUUUUGUUGACAAAAAUGGGAAAUUCACAUCAGAAUUGUAAAUGUGAUUUAUUACAUUAAUAAAUAAAAUGGUGAAACUUUAUUCGGUUGCAUUAUUUUGAAAAAAAAAUAAUAAUAAGAAAAAUAAGCAAUGCUCUUCCCAAAGCAACCAAAGCAACUAGUAAAAUCAAACAAUGAAUAAAUUUACUUCGAACUAGAUUUUGUUUGUUUCAAAAGGUUUCACUUAGUUCAAAACAACCAAUAUUUUAGGUUGUUCUAGUUGGUGGCAAAUAAAACAAGCAAGAUUAUGGUUGUUCAGAACAAAUCUUGGUUGAGUUCACCUUCAAAGUCGAAACAUAAGUCACCCACAAUUUUAGUUUGUUUCAA
Aedes albopictus (Asian tiger mosquito) is the source of this 922-nucleotide long non-coding RNA. RefSeq lists it as uncharacterized. NCBI's taxonomy places the organism in Eukaryota, Metazoa, Arthropoda, Insecta, Diptera, Culicidae. The transcript has 3 exons. The record is from RefSeq and is a predicted model, not a curated record.